This 549-nucleotide ribosomal RNA is filed under the name fungal sp. RNAcentral's name for it is "eukaryotic LSU rRNA". The stretch from base 216 to 369 matches the Rfam family "5.8S ribosomal RNA". Lineage: Eukaryota; Fungi. The record is from RNAcentral.
UUCUGUUGGGUGAACCUGCGGAAGGAUCAUUACAAAACUAGUCGUUCGCGUCGGGGCAACCUGAUCGCGAUGUAAGCUUAUACUAGUCACCCUUGAAUAACUACCUUUGUUGCUUUGGCGGGCCGCCGUCAGGCCAGCGGCUUCGGCUGCUGCGUGCCCGCCAGAGGACCACAACUCUUGUUUUUAGUGAUGUCUGAGUACUAUAUAAUAGUUAAAACUUUCAACAACGGAUCUCUUGGUUCUGGCAUCGAUGAAGAACGCAGCGAAAUGCGAUAAGUAAUGUGAAUUGCAGAAUUCAGUGAAUCAUCGAAUCUUUGAACGCACAUUGCGCCCUUUGGUAUUCCGAAGGGCAUGCCUGUUCGAGCGUCAUUAUAACCACUCACGCCCUCGCGUGGUCUUGGGGUCUCGCGGUUCCGCGGCCCCUAAAAUCAGUGGCGGUGCCUGUCGGCUCUACGCGUAGUAAUACUCCUCGCGAUUGAGUCCGGUGGGUAGCUUGCCAACAACCCCCUAUAUUUUUACAGGUGACCUCGGAUCAGUAGGUCCCGCCAC